ACGGAAGGCAGCAGUAGGGAAUAUUGCACAAUGGGGGGAACCCUGAUGCAGCAACGCCACGUGUGGGAAGAAGCAUUUCGGUGUGUAAACCACUGUCGUGAGGGAAUAAUGCUAUUUCUCGGAAUAGUUGAAUGUACCUCGAAAGGAAGCACCGGCAAACUUCGUGCCAGCAGCCGCGGUAAUACGAGGGGUGCAAGCGUUGUCCGGAUUUACUGGGUGUAAAGGGCGUGUAGGCGGAGCUGCAAGUCAGAUGUGAAAUCCCGGGGCUCAACCCCGGAACUGCAUUUGAAACUGUAGCCCUUGAGUAUCGGAGAGGCAAGCGGAAUUCCUAGUGUAGCGGUGAAAUGCGUAGAUAUUAGGAGGAACACCAGUGGCGAAGGCGGCUUGCUGGACGACAACUGACGCUGAGGCGCGAAAGCGUGGGGAGCAAACAGGAUUAGAUACCCUGGUA
The sequence is a ribosomal RNA, 451 nucleotides long. It matches the Rfam family "Bacterial small subunit ribosomal RNA", at positions 341 to 792 of the family's 1533-position model.